Molecule: ribosomal RNA, 314 nt
Filed under: uncultured bacterium
Lineage: Bacteria
Description: bacterial SSU rRNA
Rfam family: Bacterial small subunit ribosomal RNA
Source: RNAcentral
CGGCGUGCCUAAUACAUGCAAGUCGAGCGAACGGACGAGAAGCUUGUUUCUCUGAUGUUAGCGGCGGACGGGUGAGUAACACGUGGAUAACCUACCUAUAAGACUGGGAUAACUUCGGGAAACCGGAGCUAAUACCGGAUAAUAUUUUGAACCGCAUGGUUCAAAAGUGAAAGACGGUCUUGCUGUCACUUAUAGAUGGAUCCGCGCUGCAUUAGCUAGUUGGUAAGGUAACGGCUUACCAAGGCAACGAUGCAUAGCCGACCUGAGAGGGUGAUCGGCCACACUGGAACUGAGACACGGUCCAGACUCCUACG